Molecule: ribosomal RNA, 801 nt
Filed under: Streptococcus salivarius
Lineage: Bacteria; Bacillati; Bacillota; Bacilli; Lactobacillales; Streptococcaceae
Description: bacterial SSU rRNA
Rfam family: Bacterial small subunit ribosomal RNA
Source: RNAcentral
CUAUCUGUCGGUUUUAUUGGGCGUAUCGCGAGCGCAGGGGUUGAUAAGUCUGAAGUUAAAGGCUGUGGUCAACCAUAGUUCGCUUUGGAAACUGUCAAACUUGAGUGCAGAAGGGGAGAGUGGAAUUCCAUGUGUAGCGGUGAAAUGCGUAGAUAUAUGGAGGAACACCGGUGGCGAAAGCGGCUCUCUGGUCUGUAACUGACGCUGAGGCUCGAAAGCGUGGGGAGCGAACAGGAUUAGAUACGCUGGUAGUCCACGCCGUAAACGAUGAGUGCUAGGUGUUGGAUCCUUUCCGGGAUUCAGUGCCGCAGCUAACGCAUUAAGCACUCCGCCUGAUCUGUACGACCGCAAUCUGGAUACUCAGAGCAAUUGACGGGGGCCCGCACAAGCGCGGAAGCAUGUGGUUUAUUUCGAAGCAGCGCGAAGCACCUUACCAGGUCUUGACAUCCCGAUGCUAUCUCUAGAGAUAGAAAGUUACUUCGUUACAUCGGUGACAGGUGGUGCAUGGCUUGUCGUCAGCUCGUGUCGUGAGAUGAUGGGUUAAGUCCCUGCAACGAGCGCACCUCUUAUUGUUAGCUGCCAUCAUUCAGUUGGAGCACUCUAGCGAGACUGCGGCCAUAAACCGAGUAAGUUGGGAUGACGUCAAAUCAUCAUGCCCCUUUAUGACCUGGCUACACACGUGCUACAAUGAUGGUACAACGAGUGCUAGUCGUGACGCAAGCUAAUCUCUCACAGCAAUCUCAGUCGGAAUGAAGCUGCAACUCGCUUAGUGAAGUCGAAAUAAAUAAUAAUCGCGAUCAG